Molecule: ribosomal RNA, 242 nt
Filed under: uncultured bacterium
Lineage: Bacteria
Description: partial 16S ribosomal RNA
Rfam family: Bacterial small subunit ribosomal RNA
Source: RNAcentral
UACGGGGGGGGCAAGCGUUGUUCGGAAUUACUGGGCGUAAAGGGCUCGUAGGUGGCCAACUAAGUCAGACGUGAAAUCCCUCGGCUUAACCGGGGAACUGCGUCUGAUACUGGAUGGCUUGAGUUUGGGAGAGGGACGCGGAAUUCCAGGUGUAGCGGUGAAAUGCGUAGAUAUCUGGAGGAACACCGGUGGCGAAGGCGGCGUCCUGGACCAACACUGACACUAAGGAGCGAAAGCCAGGG